This 72-nucleotide transfer RNA is filed under the name Candidatus Daviesbacteria bacterium. RNAcentral describes it as "tRNA-Ile". It matches the Rfam family "tRNA". From Rfam's summary of the family: Transfer RNA (tRNA) molecules are approximately 80 nucleotides in length. The record is from RNAcentral. Lineage: Bacteria; Candidatus Daviesiibacteriota.
AGGCCCGUCGUAUAAUGGUUAAUACCUGAUUCUUAUACAGUCAAGACGAGGGUUCGAUUCCUUCCGGGCCUA